RNAcentral lists this long non-coding RNA (731 nucleotides) under Ursus maritimus (polar bear). Its description in RNAcentral is "lncRNA (ENSUMAG00000024657.1)". Lineage: Eukaryota; Metazoa; Chordata; Mammalia; Carnivora; Ursidae. The record is from RNAcentral.
GGGCCUUGGGAGAGGGGUGCUCGCCAGAUCAGCAAAUCGUUCUUUUUUUUUAGUUUUUAAUUUUAAUUUUUUAAAAAGAUUUUAUUUAUUUAUUUGACAGAGAGAGCACAGCAGGGGGAGCCACAGAGGGGGGAGAAGCAGACUCCCUGCGGAGCAGGGAGCCCAACACCGGGCUGGAUCCCAGGAUCCUGGGAUCAUGACCUGAGCCGAAGGCAGAUGCUCCACUGACUGAGCCACCCAGACGCAGCAUUGCUGAGGACACGCAGGCCUGGCGCCCUGGGCUUGGGGAACGUACAGUCCUCCCGGUGUCCCUGGGUCAACGUGGGCCCGGCCCUGUGACUUCUGCCCCAUGAGGCUCCUCACAAGUCAUCCUCGUGCGCACAAAUCGAGAUCACUGGGAGUGAUCUGCAGAGCCAGGACUCCCCAGACAGGGAGCGCCCCCCCAGCACAACCUCUCACCCCCGUGCAAAGGACCAAGGAGAGAAAUUUCCCGCCUCCAUCUGUCUGAAGAACGUCUUCCAUUUUUCUUCUUUAUUGAGUCACUUGACAUUGAACACUGAGUGAGCUCGAGGUGCAAGUGUGUGGAUAUGACACACUUACACACCGUAACAUAACGGUCCACACAGCGUUUGCUGAUGCCUGUGUCCCAUCACUUCCUCACCUUCCUGUGUGCAGUGGGGACAAGUAAGUCUGGUCUCCCAAUGACUAUGAACUUUAUAAUCCGACAUGCU